Long non-coding RNA from Cervus elaphus (red deer), 631 nucleotides. RefSeq lists it as uncharacterized. The record is from RefSeq and is a predicted model, not a curated record. Lineage: Eukaryota; Metazoa; Chordata; Mammalia; Artiodactyla; Cervidae. The transcript has 6 exons.
UGAGCCUGGCAGAGGUACUGGAGUGGGGGCUAUUCUCCGAUUUUGGAAUCUUCUAAUAGGCACCUCGGAUGAACCCUGUUCUUGAAUCAUCCUCUCAAAUUCUGAAUGACAGUUACUGACACACCACCCCCUGAGCCAGCUGUCACAGACAGAAAAAUGCAAGUUUCUGGAAGACAAGGAUCCUUCACCUGACUUAGUGCUGCACAUGGCUGGCCUGAGGCCAAACUACGCAGGGGUAACAGCAGUAACCGGCAUGCCCUGCAGCUCCCACAACCAUUGUAUUCAGUGCCCCUGACCCCAUGGCAGGCCACUGUUGACCCACAGCUCUGCCGGAGACUCCUGGACACUCACAGACUCCAAGAUGUACUCCAGACAGAAAUACCUGCAAAGGAAAAAUCAGGACAAUGGACAGCACCAGAAAAGGCCACCUUUGACCAGGCUGGGGAGCUCCUCUUAGAGGAAAUGUCUUAAAUAUAUUCAGAGUCAAGGCCUCUCCCAGAAUGAUUACACUGUUACAGUCUUGCCAUUGGGCUUCCCAGUAUAAAGCAUAACGUCUGGAUUUGAAGAGAUCCUUACAGAUACUAUUUGGCUGAAUACAUUCAACAUAUAGUUUACAUACAGAUCAAUAAAG